UCUCGGGUCCCCUAGGUCGCGGGGCAGCCGGGGCGGAAGGGGCUUGUUCAUUAUUUUGAGAGUUUGUUGUGAACGUCAUAACCUUUCGUCCUUAAAUAUUGCCGAUACUUGACCUACGCAAGAGACAAUGUCAUGUGAUUCAGCCUAAUAUCUCAAUGUAAUAAGGACUUAUGAACAGAAGACAUGUCUGUGUGCCAGGCAGCUGUGAGACAAAAUCGUGGAUCUCCGCACUGUAAACCCCCAGACCCAGGACUUACAUAACCUAGGGAAAUGUUGUUUCAGAAGGGAUGUGUAGGACAGUUGAAGUACAAGAACAUCAAGGUCAUUUCACCCAAGGGCAGAAUUUAUGGAGGAUGCAGCAUUCAAGGUUCUAUCUUGGAAGCAGAGACUGUGCCCUCACCAGAUGCUGAACCUGCUGAGCACCCUGAUCUUCCACUUCACCUUCAUCAGAACUGGUGCUAAGAAUUCUGAAUUUAUUGAGGAAAUAAAUGUCUGAUUGCAACAAAAGAAAACUUGUCUGGCUUUGGGAAGGAAGAGGCUUAGGAAAAAAAUUAAAGGCGUCUUUACUAGAAGUUCAAGACUGCUGUGAUUGCACCUGCCAUCUUAUGCAGAAAUGACCUGAAGACAGACUGAAACAACGUGUUCUACAGCCUGAAAAUAUCUACCUUGACUUACAGUUUUAUUAAUGCUGGUGUGAUCAGACUGGACAAAAAUUAGCAUAUGUUAUUAACUGAUCUAAUUCAAGUGCCAAUUCUUAAUAGAAACACAAAACAAUAAAAGCAAUUCAGAAAA
This 792-nucleotide long non-coding RNA is filed under the name Homo sapiens (human). RNAcentral describes it as "long intergenic non-protein coding RNA 882". The record is from RNAcentral. Lineage: Eukaryota; Metazoa; Chordata; Mammalia; Primates; Hominidae.